UAACUGGUUUAGUUUACUAAAUCGGUGGCAAACGGGUGAGUAAUAUACAAAAAUCUACCUGACAAUAAGGAAUAUGUACUGGAAACGGUAAGCAAUACCUUAUAUACCCUGAGGGGGAAAGAUUUAUCGUUGUCAGAUGAGUUUGUACGGGAUUAGCUAGUUGGUGAGGUAAUGGCUCACCAAGGCAAAGAUCUCUAGCCGACCUGAGAGGGUGAUCGGCCACAUUGGGACUGAGAUACGGCCCAGACUCCUACGGGAGGCAGCAGUGGGGAAUAUUGGACAAUGGGCGCAAGCCUGAUCCAGCUAUGUCGCGUGAAUGAUGAAGGUCUUAUGGAUUGUAAAGUUCUUUCGGUGGGGAUGAUAAUGACAGUACCCACAUAAGAAGCCCCGGCUAACUCCGUGCCAGCAGCCGCGGUAAUACGGAGGGGGCUAGCGUUAUUCGGAAUGAUUGGGCGUAAAGGACGCGUAGGCUGUUUUGUAAGUCUUUAGUGAAAUCCCCGGGCUUAACCUGGGAAUUGCUUGAGAUACUGCAGAACUAGAGUAUGGGAGGGGGUAGUGGAAUCUUUGGUGUAGAGGUGAAAUUCUUAGAUAUCAGAGAGAACGUCGGUGGCGAAAGCGACUACCUAGAACA
Molecule: ribosomal RNA, 631 nt
Filed under: uncultured Pseudomonadota bacterium
Lineage: Bacteria; Pseudomonadati; Pseudomonadota
Description: bacterial SSU rRNA
Rfam family: Bacterial small subunit ribosomal RNA
Source: RNAcentral